GCUUAACACAUGCAAGUCGAGGGGCAGCAUGGUCUUAGCUUGCUAAGGCCGAUGGCGACCGGCGCACGGGUGAGUAACACGUAUCCAACCUGCCGUCUACUCUUGGACAGCCUUCUGAAAGGAAGAUUAAUACAAGAUGGCAUCAUGAGUCCGCAUGUUCACAUGAUUAAAGGUAUUCCGGUAGACGAUGGGGAUGCGUUCCAUUAGAUAGUAGGCGGGGUAACGGCCCACCUAGUCUUCGAUGGAUAGGGGUUCUGAGAGGAAGGUCCCCCACAUUGGAACUGAGACACGGUCCAAACUCCUACGGGAGGCAGCAGUGAGGAAUAUUGGUCAAUGGGCGAGAGCCUGAACCAGCCAAGUAGCGUGAAGGAUGACUGCCCUAUGGGUUGUAAACUUCUUUUAUAAAGGAAUAAAGUCGGGUAUGCAUACCCGUUUGCAUGUACUUUAUGAAUAAGGAUCGGCUAACUCCGUGCCAGCAGCCGCGGUAAUACGGAGGAUCCGAGCGUUAUCCGGAUUUAUUGGGUUUAAAGGGAGCGUAGAUGGAUGUUUAAGUCAGUUGUGAAAGUUUGCGGCUCAACCGUAAAAUUGCAGUUGAUACUGGAUAUCUUGAGUGCAGUUGAGGCAGGCGGAAUUCGUGGUGUAGCGGUGAAAUGCUUAGAUAUCACGAAGAACUCCGAUUGCGAAGGCAGCCUGCUAAGCUGCAACUGACAUUGAGGCUCGAAAGUGUGGGUAUCAAACAGGAUUAGAUACCCUGGUAGUCCACACGGUAAACGAUGAAUACUCGCUGUUUGCGAUAUACAGCAAGCGGCCAAGCGAAAGCGUUAAGUAUUCCACCUGGGGAGUACGCCGGCAACGGUGAAACUCAAAGGAAUUGACGGGGGCCCGCACAAGCGGAGGAACAUGUGGUUUAAUUCGAUGAUACGCGAGGAACCUUACCCGGGCUUAAAUUGCAGAUGAAUUACGGUGAAAGCCGUAAGCCGCAAGGCAUCUGUGAAGGUGCUGCAUGGUUGUCGUCAGCUCGUGCCGUGAGGUGUCGGCUUAAGUGCCAUAACGAGCGCAACCCUUGUUGUCAGUUACUAACAGGUUCCGCUGAGGACUCUGACAAGACUGCCAUCGUAAGAUGUGAGGAAGGUGGGGAUGACGUCAAAUCAGCACGGCCCUUACGUCCGGGGCUACACACGUGUUACAAUGGGGGGGUACAGAGGGCCGCUACCACGCGAGUGGAUGCCAAUCCCAAAAACCUCUCUCAGUUCGGACUGGAGUCUGCAACCCGACUCCACGAAGCUGGAUUCGCUAGUAAUCGCGCAUCAGCCACGGCGCGGUGAAUACGUUCCCGGGCCUUGUACACACCGCCCGUCAAGCCAUGGGAGCCGGGGGUACCUGAAGUGCGUAACCACGAGGAGCGCCCUAGGGUAAAACUGGUGACUGGGGCUAAG
This 1436-nucleotide ribosomal RNA is filed under the name uncultured organism. RNAcentral describes it as "16S ribosomal RNA". It matches the Rfam family "Bacterial small subunit ribosomal RNA". The record is from RNAcentral.